AAAAUGGUACUUGUCACCCUGUAGCUCAAGACCGGUUACUCACCGAAACUAAGCAGAGCUGAGCCCGGUUAGUACCUUAAUGGGAGACAACAUAGGGAAACUAGAUUGCUGUUGGA
Molecule: ribosomal RNA, 116 nt
Filed under: Danio rerio (zebrafish)
Lineage: Eukaryota; Metazoa; Chordata; Actinopteri; Cypriniformes; Danionidae
Source: RNAcentral